Molecule: ribosomal RNA, 465 nt
Filed under: Vreelandella stevensii
Lineage: Bacteria; Pseudomonadati; Pseudomonadota; Gammaproteobacteria; Oceanospirillales; Halomonadaceae
Description: partial 16S ribosomal RNA
Rfam family: Bacterial small subunit ribosomal RNA
Source: RNAcentral
CCUACGGGAGGCUGCAGUGGGGAAUAUUGGACAAUGGGGGCAACCCUGAUCCAGCCAUGCCGCGUGUGUGAAGAAGGCCCUCGGGUUGUAAAGCACUUUCAGUGAGGAAGAACGCCUGGUGGUUAAUACCCAUCAGGAAAGACAUCACUCACAGAAGAAGCACCGGCUAACUCCGUGCCAGCAGCCACGGUAAUACGGAGGGUGCGAGCGUUAAUCGGAAUUACUGGGCGUAAAGCGCGCGUAGGUGGCUUGAUAAGCCGGUUGUGAAAGCCCCGGGCUCAACCUGGGAACGGCAUCCGGAACUGUCAAGCUAGAGUGCAGGAGAGGAAGGUAGAAUUCCCGGUGUAGCGGUGAAAUGCGUAGAGAUCGGGAGGAAUACCAGUGGCGAAGGCGGCCUUCUGGACUGACACUGACACUGAGGUGCGAAAGCGUGGGUAGCAAACAGGAUUAGAUACCCGAGUAGUC